UACGUAGGGGGCAAGCGUUGUCCGGAAUUAUUGGGCGUAAAGCGCGCGCAGGCGGUCCUUUAAGUCUGAUGUGAAAUCUUGCGGCUUAACCGCAAGCGGUCAUUGGAAACUGGGGGACUUGAGUACAGAAGAGGAGAGCGGAAUUCCACGUGUAGCGGUGAAAUGCGUAGAUAUAGGGAGGAACAUCAGUGGCGAAGGCGACCGCCUGGCCCAACACUGACGCUGAUGGACGAAAGCGUAGGUAGCGAACAGG
This 253-nucleotide unclassified non-coding RNA is filed under the name uncultured Caryophanales bacterium. RNAcentral describes it as "uncultured Bacillales bacterium contains 16S-23S intergenic spacer region". It matches the Rfam family "Bacterial small subunit ribosomal RNA", at positions 524 to 776 of the family's 1533-position model. The record is from RNAcentral. Lineage: Bacteria; Bacillati; Bacillota; Bacilli; Caryophanales.